Molecule: ribosomal RNA, 464 nt
Filed under: uncultured Actinomycetes bacterium
Lineage: Bacteria; Bacillati; Actinomycetota; Actinomycetes
Description: SSU rRNA
Rfam family: Bacterial small subunit ribosomal RNA
Source: RNAcentral
CCGACGAAGCGUGAGUGACGGUAGGGGUAGAAGAAGCACCGGCCAACUACGUGCCAGCAGCCGCGGUAAUACGUAGGGUGCGAGCGUUGUCCGGAAUUAUUGGGCGUAAAGAGCUCGUAGGCGGUCUGUCGCGUCGAUCGUGAAAACUUGGGGCUUAACCCUGAGCUUGCGGUCGAUACGGGCAUGACUGGAGUUGGGCAGGGGAGACUGGAAUUCCUGGUGUAGCGGUGAAAUGGGCAGAUAUCAGGAGGAACACCGGUGGCGAAGGCAGGUCUCUGGGCCGAUACUGACGCUGAGGAGCGAAAGCGUGGGGAGCGAACAGGAUUAGAUACCCUGGUAGUCCACGCCGUAAACGGUGGGCGCUAGGUGUGGGGGCCAUUCCACGGUCUCUGUGCCGUAGCUAACGCAUUAAGCGCCCCGCCUGGGGAGUACGGCCGCAAGGCUAAAACUCAAAGGAAUUGACG